Molecule: long non-coding RNA, 3150 nt
Organism: Acanthochromis polyacanthus (spiny chromis)
Lineage: Eukaryota; Metazoa; Chordata; Actinopteri; Pomacentridae
Exons: 2
Source: RefSeq, a predicted model, not a curated record
AGAAUAAAGAGAGGAGAUGUUGUGUAAAAAAGCCACAGUUCUAGACAGGAAAAGCCGGUUGAUACACACACCUAAUGCCUACUUUACAUAAUAACCGCUGUGUAUGACGGCUGGUGACUGAGGUAGGAGCACCAUAUCUAACUGAACCGACUGAUAAGGUGUGUGCCUACAGAGCACUGAUUAUACUCAACACCAAGAGAAAAAGAAGAGUGAGAAAGAGACGGAUUAAAGAGUCAGAUGGAAGACGGCUGCAGGGGAGGGAGAGAGAAAGACGUGGAAGAGAAAGGAAGAGGAGAAGACGGGAGCAUGUGUUGUAUGCCGGGAAGAGAAAUGAAGGUGUAGAGAGGGGAAAAGAAGAAAGCUACCGUAGAGAGGUUAUUCCAUUUGGAGAUGAAAGGCGCAGACGGAGAGCGAGCCAUUUCUAAAGGAAACAUAAUAACCUUUUCAUACCUCCUCCUGGAGCACAGUGGGGGGAGGAUGGGGGAGGAAAGAAUGGGAGGAGGGGAGAGGACGGCGGCGCAGAGGAGCAUUUAAAAGUAAUAACCCAUCCCUGAGGUUUCUGGACAUCUUUUGCCCCACUUUCGCUGUUUGAUGUGGAGAAAAUGACCAAGGCGGUGGCAACAGCAGCAAAAAACGAGACGGGGGAGAGAGAGGCAACAAAAGAGGAAAAAGGAAAAUGUCUGUCAUUAGAGAACGGCAAAAUGGAGAGGAGGCAAAAAAAAGAUGCCAGGUUCAGUCACCCAGGGAAAAGAGGGUCUUGCGGAUGGGGAGGCGCCUCGACGCCACUUCAUUCCCCGAGUCCUUAUUUUCCUCUGAGAGGAGGUUAAGAGGGGUUGCAUGUGUUCACUCAUCUCUUUUAUUCUUCCUGGUUGAGACAGAACGUAUCUCAGAGGUUCACCGAGUUCAAAGAAUACCACAAAGCCUCUUGAACUCCAAAAAUUUUUCGCAGGAAUAUGCAUAUACAUUAAAGCAACCACGGCGGGUGUCGCAGCUUUAAAGAUGUGAGUGCCCACACCAGGAUUGCAGGAGCCUUACAUCAGGCACCUCGCCCCUGACACAAUCAGGAAUCCAUGUUCACAUUUCCUCUCUCAUGUGGGAGUCAAACAUGUCCUCCAGUUUAAUUCUGUUAAAAUCCCCGACCCUCAAACUCGGUGUGAUCCUCCAGCAUCUAAAUUCUGUCUCCCCUCUGCCAGCGCUGCUUCGUCUGGGAGCUUAAUUAAAACAACAGCCCGUUAAAGCCUCCAGGUAAAAGAGGGAUACUCGGCUCCGAAGUGUGAGUCAGAGCUCUCGACCCAGCAGCGGUAAAGAAACCUGGAAGGUCGUCGGUGUGAAGCGUGAACACAGUCCUGAGGUGCUUUAGCAUAUUGUUCAUUUAGUCACUGCUUUCAUUUUGGAUUUCAACAGACAUGAGCAGAAAUACCCUUAGUACCUUCAGUCUUUGUAUGAGAAAUAUCAGUAAAGAAGAUUCUGAAGACGCAUCAUGAAGACAGGAAUUUAGAUUUGCAAUCCCCCAGAAGAUUCGGGAUUAGCAGGACUACAAAAUAUUAUGGCACUUUUCUAGCACCUACUCUGCUUGGUUUGCAAGCUUUUUUUAUUCGGAUGUAGGACCUGGUACCAGCUACUAUUUCAGUACCUACUCUGCCGGGUUUCCAAGCGAGCUGAGUCGAGCCGAUAAUGUGACGUCUACAGAAUGCAGGCCAUCGAUUGGACAGGAAGUGACGACAUACAAGAGCGACUCCUUCACGAAAACCAAACCCGCCACGAGCUAACACAAUGUAGCAUGAGAACACAGGAGUGAUGGUUGCUGGAAAUGUUCCUCUGUACCCCUACAUUUCCACCUAGAAUAGUCAUUUACCACAUUAACAAUGUCUAGACUGUGUUUCUGAUUCAGUUAAUGUUAUCUUCAUUGUAAAAAAAACUGCUUUUCUUUAAAAAAUAAAAAAAAAGAACAUUUCUAAGUGACCCUAAACUUUUGAACAGUAGUGUCGGUGUGACGGUGCCACAAACAACUUGUCAAGUAAUUGUAUCUUGUGUUUAAAGCCCUCUUUGGUAUCUGUAUUAAUGGGUAUCAAGUCUUUCUUGACAUGACAAGUCCAGUAACUCUUUUGCUUUGGAUGUCAUUCAGAUCUAGAUUUAAAUGAUCAGACAAGUGAGUUGUGUUUCCUCAUCUCGUGGCAAGACGCUUCCGACAGAGAACCGUUGUGUUGAAUUGCAUCAUUUCUGCAGCGCAUGUAAACAAACUAAGUUUUUUCAAAAAUAAAGUCAAGAACCACUGUCCAAGAACGCUUAAAUUGGACUUAAUAAUGCACUAUCAGACAGGCUACUCAGACUACAAACAAAGCGAGUUUUCUUUUUGCAUCGAGCAGCAAAAAGGUUGGAGCAUGAUGUGUUUGAGUUAAUUUGUGGUAUUUCACAGAUGCAAACAACAUCACAGUGUUGUUUAUGUCGCCAAAGUUUGGGAUGCCAAACCACAAACAGAACCGAAAUGAAAAUGGACUCAUCCUUUCCACCGUCAUGAUAUGAAAAAGCAACAAUUAAGAGGACUGCACGGGUUCACAGACAUCACUUGUGUUUCAUUCUCCUUAAAUUUGCCUCCAGGUGUGUUUGAGCAGAGCUACCAUACCUCUUAGUAUGGUACACACCAGUGCAGACCUUGGAGCAGAGGGUUUUUUGUGCAAACUGAAAAGGACAGAGCUUUUGCAGUCAGAGCCCCGAGGCUCUGGAACAAUCUGCCUGAGGAAAUCAGGUCGUCUGAGUCACCAAGUCUCUUUUAAAAACACACUUCUAUUAGAGAGUCUUACCUGAUUUUACUUUAGUUCUGAUUCUUUUUGAGUCGACUUUUUCAAAUGUUCCAACACUACUGGUCUCUCUGCUAUUAAAGCUGACCCUGAAAUGUGAAUUCUGGUUGGUUUAUAAGUGGUUUGGUGGUAACUUCAACAACAUAAUGCCACUUUGACGCCCUUUUUUCUGAAUAAACAAGUAAAUAAUUGAACACAUCCGAGGAGCAGCUGCAGAUUCACCGACCAUGAACCGGACUGUCCUCUGUUCAGGCCGGGCCUUUCAUGUGGAAAGCUGAUGUAUCAAAGGUCACAGAGUCUAGUUUCCAUUUUAUUUUACCACCAAUAUUAAACUUGAAAUCAGAAAAUUUUA